UGUAUGUGUAUGCCUGUGUGUGUGUAUGUGCAUGUGUGCACGUGCAUGCAUGUGCAUGUGUGUUAUUUGUGUAUGAGGGAGUAUAUGUAGAUUCAGGUGAACAAUUUUGAGUGUCAUUCCUUACUGAAUGGCCCACUGUGUUUUUUUUGUUUCUGUUUUAUUUUGUUUCCCUGUUUGUUUUUGAGACAGGAUCUCUCACUGGACUAGAAUCAAGUUGGCUAGGCUUGCUGGCCGGUGAGCCCGCAAGGGUCCACUUGUUUCUGCCUGCUAAGCAUUGUGAUAGCAAGCAUCUAUUACCUCAGUCAGCCUUGAACAGUCUUUUAACUCCAUAAAACAAGUGUUCUCUCCGUGUGUAAGUUAACUACCUGAUGCAGGAGGGAAAGCGAAAUGGCCUCAUGUGUCAAGGAUGCUGCUGCAUUCAGCAUCCUCGUGGCCUCCACUAUGAUAGUGGUCAUAGUCACUAUCAGGGUAAUUCCGAACCCUUUCUUACCUGCCCUGGAGCUUCCUGGGUAAAGCCCUGUGUGAAUCUUCUGCAGUUGGUUUACUGGGAGGCUUCUGCCCCUCACUGUCGAUAGACAAGAGUAAACAAAACUGAAGAGAGCUGUGGCCAUCCUUGAACGUUGUGAUGAUCAGGCCAUGGGGUGUUCCCAACAUGUGCCUGCUAUAGAAACCUGUGCUUGCUUAGGGGUGAUUGCUGGAGGCAGCAGCCAAUAUGCAACCCAGGGAAGCUUGAGGAAGUCAGGCCUCUGAGGAAUGCCACUAGAGGGUCACUGCCCUGGCCCAGGCUCUUUCUCGGGACAGCAAUAGCCUGAGAUCAUCUGGGAGUUGUAAAGACAGGCUGCCAUGUGUGGGUAUUCAAGUCUGUGUGAUGGUAGUUCAGUCAACUUUCCCAGGCAAUGCCCCAGUGUGUUUCUGUCUUCUCUACGUGGAGGGGACCUUGGAGUGCAUUAGAUAAGGACAUGGUAACACAGGAAGAGGGGGUGAGCCUCAGCCUAUGGCAGCAGAGCUGAUGCUGACACACUGUCUAAGCUUGAGUGCCUGGUCUUCUCCCAUAUGGUCUGCUGAGGGCCUGGUGCAAUGACUCCUGAGGGCGCUCGGUGCUCUGUGGGUCUUAGCCAGGACCAAUGAUGCCACUUGUCACUUUUCUACCCUCUACAAAGCCAUAAGCUCGUGUGUAUGCUGGGAGAAACAGCUGCUGUGUUAAAUCAUGUUUUCUGACUUCUGGAGAGGGCCGGUGAAUGGAGAGAAAGCACCCUUCACAGCAGAAGAUAUAAGCCCCUCUUCUCUCUGCUCUGCAAGUCCUACACUGUCUUUGUGGCACAAGGAAAUGAACACCUCCUCCUGGGAGUCCACUCUGAUCCUCAGGUAAUACACAAAUGUGUCCCCAUUCCCCGAAAAGGACCAGCUCUCACUGCAAGGAAAUGGAUAUCUGCGAACAUUACUCUGUCUGUCAAACAUUUACCUUUGCCCAUAAGGACAAAGGGAUGAACCAUUUUGUUGUCUCUCUGGGCUGAGCACAGCGCCUGGGACAAAUCUCAGUAAACACCUAAACAAUGUCAGGUUUUGUGUUUCUUCCCCUGCUAAGUCAGCUGUGCUUCUAAGAAAGUCCUAAGCAUGAUCCUAGACUUACCUGAGCCUCAUUCCCAGACUGUCUUGUUGCAUAAAGGAGAUGGAAUGUUCCAGAAGCCAAACCACUCAUGAGUGCAAAUUAAAGUCCAGGAAAGGUUAGUAACUCAUCCUCACCCAGCAGCAAACCAGGCCUCAGCCUGGCUUUGUUGGUGUUAAGCUGUCUCUUCAAUCCAUUUCCGCAUACAGUUCCAACAGAUUCAGAUAUUACUGGCUCUGUCGUCACAACUCUUGUCUUGGGGGGUGGGGGGCGUCUUGGCAGAGCUACCCUGGGCCUAGAACCUCAGACCAGCACAUUUUAUUUAUUUUAUUUUUACAGAGAGGAGACUGUUUGUGUAAACUGUCUGAACCACUCAGAAUCACGUGAGUACCAUCUCACUGGCUCAGUGCCCUGCAGUCCUGUCAUAAGAACAUUUUUGUGGCUGGUGGGGACACUCCCUCCACUGGACUGUCUCGCUAACACUGCCCACCCCACUCUGAGGUACCAGGUAAUGCUAGAAGAUUGGAGCUCACUGCCCAUACUGGUCCACCCCUAGAAUCCUCGGAGUAGGGCUAGGGUGGGCAAUCUCUGAACAAGAGGAACAAAUAAAAAUGGGACUGCACAGAGAUUCAAGUAUGACAUUAGGUAUGGACCACCAAGUUGGCCAGGCCUGGACAGAAGGAAGUAUCCUCACGGAGCUGAGCUGUGGGUCCCUCUUUUGUCUAGACCUGGAGGCAGUGUUUUGCAGAGCCCUGGCAGCCUGCCUCUGCACUGGCACCACAGGGGACACUCAUACAGGGCUUCUCCAGGUCCUACUUUGAGAAAUGCGUCUCCUUUGGCCACUCUGGGUGGGAAGACCUUCCUGAGAUGGGGUUCACAUGGGACUGUCCAGUUCAGUGGCUGUCACUGCUCUAGGUCUACAAACAGGAGGAGGGUGGCAGGAGACAAUGACAGUGUGGCCGCCCAUGAGUCUUUGAUCUGACAGCUCCUGGAGCCCCCUCAGCAGCCUUUUGCUUACUAGGCCACUAUCAGCUCCCUGAUGUGGAGGGACCCUGGUAAUGAGGUUCUAUUAACGGAGCUGGAUCCCGGUUCUCAGAACUCAAUGUUCAGAGUAAACAAUGAGGCAGAAUCCUAUUUAAAAAAAAAAAAAGACUUCCAACAUGGACAAAUUAAGCCCGUGGGAAUGUCGUACAAAGAAUACAUUUUUCCAGUGUCGAAUCAAGAUCAAUAGAGAAAAACAAAUAAUUUCAAGUGAGAGUUGUCAUAAUGACACUCAGGUUCGGGCAGGGGUUGCACACAGUAUUUUGGCCUGAGGACAUCCCAGCAUAUAUAAUGAGGAUGCAGGGGUGGGGCUGGUCCUGGGCAGCAGGGGUGCGUCGACUCCCAGGUGGCUCAGCCUGGCUGACACUCGGUCUCAUUUGUCUCUGUCAAGGCUCCUCUCUCACUGUGGAGCUGUUAGCCUGUUCAUGUGCUACCGAGCUUGCUGAGGUUGACCCAGGUCUGGAGCAGCUAAAGAAGCCAGAGCUUUGUUCAGAGGGGAUAGAUCUGCACACCCCCUGCAGAAUGCUGUCUGUAACUCUCCCCCAAGGUGGGGGAGAUCCCUAGUCAUCUGCUCAGACGUCUCCUUCUCUUCAAUUCCCCCCAUUUGCCACUCACUUUGGACUGUCAUGCCCACAGGACCCAGUGUGCUCUCUGCUAUCAGUAAAAGUCUUACCUGUUGCCCCAUGCUGGUCUGGAGGGAGUUGUUCUUUUAGAAACCUCUGCUUAAUUCUUUCCUUCUCUUCCUGAUCCCUGGUGACCUGAAAAUCACCCUUGUCUGUUUUCCCAGAGUGCCAGGCAGGGUUCUCAGCUGGCAUAUACCCUCUCCUGCUCUCCGAGGGGAUGUCUCAGUGAAUUGGGUCAUCCUGUUGAGUCACUGGACAGAGAGCUUCCCAAUCCUGCCUGGGGUUCCUUGAUUCAUCUGAGCCCCCACUGUGGUCUCCAAGCCAUAUCCCCGGGAGCAGGUCAUUUCCAUGGGAGUCUGGGAGACUAGGAUGGACAAGACUCAGGUCUCAGGAGGCAGGGGCUCUAAUACCUAUCUGCUCUCCACAAGGAGACUAGGAGACGAAGGAGAGUUGACUCUGGUACACAGUCGCCAUGAUUCCUGAUUUCAACCUGCUGAGCUAAUGUGCAUUGGUGAUGUCUCUGAGGUUUCCCUCCAUGCAGAAUUUGUGCUACACGCACUAGAGGAGUGUGUGUGUGUGUGUGUGUGUGUCCGUGUGUGUGCAUGUGCAUUUUAGGCUGAGCCAAAGCACACACUAGGUGCAACAUCUUUCCCUACUUUCCAGCUGACAAACAAGUGACUGGGCAGGGCCGGAGGUCAGGUGGACUCAGGGCUUCUGCCUCCCAGGAAGAUCUCGGCCCUAUUGGGGGUGGAGAGAUAUAGAGUGGGUCAUGGUAAGGCAAACCUAGAGAGGAACUGGAGGUCUCAUGGAGGGUCUUGGCCCAGCCAUGUGGGAAAGCGGAAGGAUGAGAGUUCCCAAGCUGCCUACAACUUUGGUUGGCUUGAGGCAUAGACCGCUAGGAUGGCUUAAAAUGCUUUGCCUCCUCUAAAAAUUCACAGCUAAGUUGAAUUCCCACUGUAAAGUGUUAUGGGGUUGGGGACGAGGUUCCAAUACAUGGGUAGAGUGAAGCCUUGGGGGACAAUGGGAGUCUGACAAGAUCAGAAAGGUGGGGCCCCUGAUUGAAUGCUGAUGGUCUCGAAAGAGCAAAGAGAGACUAGAAGACACAUUUUCAGUCUCUUUUCUCUCUUCUCGUGCGCCUUACCAUGUGACAUCCUACACUUCUUUGGGAGUUUGCCAGAGAGAAGGCCAACAUCAGACUUGAGCUUUGACCUUGGACAAGAACUCUGUAAGCCCAAAGAAAGAUCUCUUAUUUCUAACUUUACCUAUCUCUCUGGUCUUGUUUCAGACUUUCAUCAUCUCUGGCCUUGUGUCACUAUCAUUUGAAGGUGGUUCAGGCUUGUUGAAUUCUCUGCCUUAAAGUCUUGCAGGCAAGUGUUGAAGUCGUGUUCUUUCCACUGUGGACAGAACCGAAGAUCCCAGCAUCCUUUGUGGGACUCUGUAACACAAGGUUUGUACAUCCUUUGAGGAAGGGUGCAGACAUAUACAUAUACUUGGGUCAGUUACAUGUCACCUGGGGAAAUGAGUAGCAGCCAGUGUCAUAUAACACUGUAAGUACUUCUGUGUAGAUAGCAGGGCACUAGGGCAGCUGCUGCAGCAGCGACCGGUUGGAAGAAGAUCCAUGUCGUCCCCAGUGUGGGAAGCAAGGUGACAUCCUGCAUGGCCACACAGAUUGGUGUCCUGACGACUACUGGGCUACGAUCCCAGCUGUGGCCUGGCUGCCUUGCUGCUUCCCAUCUGCUGAUCUCCCCACCAGAUCUGUGAUCUUUCUCACCUGCUGUGAAAUAAAUCCCCACCUGCUUCAAACUGACCAAGCCCGAACCUAGAAGCUUGGCUGACACUCUGAAUGACUCUCAGCAGAUUUGUGUUCCCAGAAGAGAGGUUGAGGCACGUUCCUGCUCCCCACGGGAUCCAGGAGACUGGAGUUGGCCCUUUGGCUUUCGUUAUGGGAGGUAGAAGACUAGAAUUCCCCUCCACCAAGACCACACACAGUGGGGAAGAGGCAAAUUCCAGAAGGAACACAGGCUACUGUUAAAUGAGGAGUGUGGGAGCGCAGUUAGCAAAACAGGACACAUGUGCACUAACCAAUCUCUCUUCAUUCAUCCAAGUAAAUAGAGUGUGCACUCUAUGCUGAGGAAAGGGGUCUCUCCCUUCUUUCAUGUACACCACACUCACACUGCAAGCCGGAUGCAUGCAGAUACUGCAAAACCUUUGGGAUACAGCACUGGCUGCCCUCCAGACACCCAGCUAAGUAAAGGGACCAAGGACUGUUCCAGAGAAAAGGUGAGUUGGGCCUUGGAGGAGGACUGCAGGGCGGGGCAAAGAGAAAAGUGGGCAGAGCCACAAAAGCUUAGAAUGGCCUCAGCAUCAUACAGGGCCACAUACACAGGCUCAGACUAGAAGUAGGGGUACAGUGGGAUUGUGUCUGUGGAAAGAUGAAAGUUUGGGGAGAGCCUGAGGGUCGGGCUGGGGUUUGGAAGUACGAUAUUGAGUGUCACAUAAAACGGGUCAGCAGACGUGUUCUUUCGGGAGACACUUGUUGGUAGGCCAGUCUCUGAGAAAGUCCUAUGGAUGGUGAACAGCAUGGCAGCGGCUGGAGUGAAGGUACAAAGGAAGAGGGAGGAAGCUGGGGCUGCAGACUGGGUGUCUUGCCGAUGGCCUCGUGGAACCCCAACUAAGGAUCUGCUGGAAGAAGCACUUAGGGCCAAUACUGAGGUCUUUGGUGUUGAGGAGCUGGGUCCCCCAGCAGUCAAGCCCUGCUGCCACUCCCAGCUCUGCCUGGCUUGCUAGCUGGCUGGUUUGUCUUUUGUUUUUUUUGCUUUCAGCUGUGGUGACUUCCAACGGUGCUCUAGAAUCUCCUGGACUUCCCCAGAAGAAUCUGCCUUACAUGUAAACGUUCUGCUUCAGAUGUUUGCCAUGCAAGAGAUCCUGCCAUUAAAGUCCAUGCCAAAAACAAACAAACAAACAAACACACACACACCACAAAAACCAAACCUCAAUGAGUGCGCUUUCUGAGUUCCCAUGGGGCUCUUACUACCCUGGGUGACUAAAUGGCCUGGUUUGCCACACACGAGUUCUAUUUUAUCAGUUCCAUGUUAAGAUGACCACACCCAGAUAAGCUAGAAGGUCGGUACCCUCAAUUUUUAACAUUUUGCUCUUAAGACAGGCUACCGUCUGGAGAGGUCAUGGGGGUGGGCUGAACAUUGGGCAGGGCUGGUGGUCUCUGUUGUGGUCGGCUUGGGCCUCCUGAAGGAGAUAGGCCAGAGACCCACUAAGGCAACUGAGAAAGGGUCAUGAGGAGUCAGAGUCUGUGGAGCAUAAGAGAUUAGUUCAUGUUGUCUGGAUUGCUGGGACUGCCUCCCUGGGACUAGAACCACUGGUCUGUGUCAGGGUCAUUCUGGAUUAUAGUCUGGAGAAUCCUAACACUGUCUGCCUAACCCCACAGCAGCUCAUCCUUACUGACAGGCACAAGGCCAGAGGUGUUCAAGGAUAAGACAGGGGCUCCACAGAGCUUGUGGGGUCCAGGCUUCUUCACCCUGUGCCCCUUCAUCCCUCCUCUCAUGUGGAACUCUGGCUCUAGGUGCAGCUUCCCUCCUGGAGGUCAAGAAUGACACAAGAAAGGAGCAGCGUCAAGGAGGAGGAGGUGUAAGGCAACGUGUACAGCCAUUCUCAUAGACGCUAGCUGCUUCCACUGGUCAGGGAUGCUACAGUGCUUUCUCUUGAAAAGAGGCUGGGAAAUGGUGUGUUUCAGCUGGCUGGAACCAAAUCGAGAGAGAGAGAGAGAGAGAGAGAGAGAGAGAGAGAGAGAGAGGUGAAGAAGGGCUCUUGUUUGGAUAAUUAGAGGAGUCCUCAGGAGGUUCUUAGAGGCUUCUAAAUACACUGGCCAUCCAAUCUCCCUAUCACUCAAGCUUAUGUCUCAUAGUCCCCUGGGUCCCAAGCGCCAUAGACGCCAGACUUGGCAUGAUCCACACUGCUGGGGUGCCACCAAUAGGAUGCCGGAAACCCCAUUUUUCUUUUCUCUUCCCAACAAAGCCAGAUGGCAGGCAGUGUGACUCCAUCUCCGCCAAAGUCCAGGGGAUGUUGUCCCCUCCCUGCCUGGAAGGCUGUACCCCUCCUCCUGAUGCACUUCCUGUGGCCCACAGCCCAGCCUCUCUGCAAGUGAGAUCCUCCCUUCCCCCUCCUGCGCGAGCCUAGAGCGAGUCAGCCCAUCUGGUUCUAUUUCACUUCGUGUUACUCAUCAGGAUGUGUUUGCCAGGAGUUAUUUGAUGUUCAGGAAGAAUUCUGAAGCUUUUGAAAAGAGGUAAAUAAAAUCCUUUAUCCCCCAAAGAGUCAUGAAAUUGUGUUUUGCUCAGGAGGUGGCAGGCAGCCAUGUGAGGUCUGGAGGCCCCUGCCUAGCCAGGCACAGGGGCUGGAGUUUCACGAUCUGUUCUUCUGUCAGUCAGUCCGAAUCUCCACUCCUCCAAGUCCUUCCUGAUGCUCUCUUGGGAUGCCCGAAUUUGGGAACAGAUGAGGGCUGCCUGUGGGGACAGCCCAGCCUGUCUCCUGCUCUUCAGCCAAGAAAGCUUUUAGGGAGCACUCCUUCUGGUCCUCAGCCCUGUCAUUCCACAGCCAUGCAUACGAGCUCCAGGGGGAGGAACCAGAGUUCUCUGCCACAGAACAACCUGGGUUGGGGGAGCUCACCCCAUCUGCUAGGGUCUGGAGAUCACAAAGCAAGGAAGCUGACACCUCCUCCAAGCUCCUGUGAAUUGCAACAGACAUCAUGGAUGUUAAGAUACCCAGAAGGAGAGGCUUUGCCUGCAGGACUGUCUUACAGAGAAGGUUCCACCCUUCUAGCAUCAACCUCUACCUCGAGUCCACACAGCCUUCCUAUUAUUGCCCAGAGAUGGUUCAGUGCAAUGUCAAAGUUUUCCUGGCAAGAACUAGAUCCUCAGGUCUCGUUAAUGCAAAGUGGACCCCACUCUACCUUGUGGGUGCCCAUAACCAACCUGUUGAGAAGAGACCAACAUUUGUGUGACUGGUUGCUCCUUGGGCAGAGUCUGAGUGUUUACUCCCCCAACCCCCCCAAACAUCCCUAUUCUAUGCAAUGCCUCCCACAUAAGCAUCCAGGCAGAGGAGUGUGGGCUUACCUCUGUACCCCUUGAUCUGUCCAUUCUAUUACAGGGAUGCCAGAGGGCUCCUCCACAGCCUAGAGUGGUGUCAUCUCAAAUCCUGCAGUAUGCAAGGCUUCCCACCCACUGCAUCCCCCGUGACAGCUUACAACCCUGACUAUCAAACAUUGAUCACUUAAAUUUAACAUCCCGUCUUCCCUUUGAUAUCUUCAACUGCUCUCUGCAUAAGACAACAAGCCGCUUUCUGCAGCUCCGUAUGAGGGAGAGUUCAAAGACUUCCUUCCCCAGUCCCUCAGCACUGCACUCUGGGAUUCUGCCAGAGAGACUGUCAGGAGGAAGGUUUAAGGCAUCCUCUACUGAUAGCGUCUUUAGGACUCAGACCUGUGGGGAAACCUCCAUGCUUUAAGUCCUGGAUUCUGGGGUGAUCUGCGCAUAACUGGGCAGUCAAUGGCAUGUUAAUGUUUUUCUAGAAGCAUCUGUGGGUCAUCAUGGGGAAAGAUGUAAAUUCAGAGGCAGAGGCAUCAGGCUUAUAUCCUUGAGGAGCCGGGCCUGCAUCCCUGAUCUGCCCUUGACCAACUCUGGGUCCUCAGGAAAGUUCUGGAUCUUUUAAAUGGAUACGAUCAUUCUUAGCUCUCAGCAAAGUGCUUGAAUGGGCAGUGUGGCUACCCGGCUCACCAUUCCUGGACAGGAAGCGUCAGUGGCCGAGUAUGACAGGAAGCGCUGAACUCCUGAGAGCUGGGUACUUGAUAGUCACAGCUGGCAGCCUGAUCACCAGUCAUUCUGAUCCUCCCCCUCACACAAUCCGCAGUGGGCUUGUACUUUAUUACACCUGUGUUAAUUAGCGUAGCUACCAUCUAUGAAACACACCCCAUGGGUCAAGGCCAGAGCAAAGUGAUUGACCGAUGUCACUUCACAUCAGCCCUGCGAGUACCUCAAAGGUAGCCUUUCUCCUGGGACCUGUUUCUGCCUGAGUGUCUUCCUGGGUAACAGAAUCUACCUCAUGUUAAUGGCCACAUGGGGCUCGAAGCCAGGUCAGUGGGGCCGAAGUUCCGGCUUUUGCCUCAGUCUUCAAGCUGUAGUGACAUACUCUAAAAGGCACGUGGUGCUGUGUCUCAGUGCCUUGGGGUCUGCAGUGGAGGAUGUCCUGGUACGGAGAGAUGAACGUGGGACAGAGUGAAAAAGACCUUCUGUUCAGUUUCACACACUGUGUUUUGAGUAGCCACCUACAUAGUAUAACACCAGUUACAACGUCAUGGUCCCAGGUUCCUCAUGGCCCCAGACUUAAAGAAUAGAUCAUGAUGUUCCUGAUCUCUAGAGCCCUGUGGCCUAAGCCUCUGACUUGCUGGGGUUGCUAAGAAAUGGACUCCCCUUGUGGGGAGUCCCCCCCCCCAGGCAAUGCCACUUGUGACUGAAUGAUCUCUGAGUUUGGGGAGAGCGCUAGAAUCUCCACUCUAUUCUUGGCACAUCCUAAGUGUGCACCCCAGAAACUUGGCUCACAGUCUCCACUGCCACCCACUGGGGUCACACAGACUGCAUCUGCCCCUUUGUCAGAGGUUUUGGAAGAGUGUUUUUGCUUGGGGUUCCUUUCUUCAGGUCACAAAGGUCAAAGCUUCCUGUGACGUAAUGACGUAAAUCUCUGCAGCCUGUGACUUUGCAGGAAAGAGUGGGAAAUGGAGACUGGGAAGAAAGGAAGGUGAUGUCAUGUACCUGUGGGGGAGCUGCUGGGGUUAAACAAAGGCAUAGUCCCUGGCUGCUGGAGUGGGGCUGUCGGGGGAUGGAUGAAUGGCAAGGGAGAUAAUGAUCUCAGUCCUCUUCCAGACUCCCUUCCUCCUGGUUAGAACUCCUUCCCAUCCCCCUAUGGAGAACUCAUCAUGGCAAAGCCCUUGAAGGGUGGGCCCCACCUUGACCAGAAGCUCUCCCUGUGCUAUGGGGAGUUGUUUAUUCCCUAAAUUUUAGAGUUGAGCUCUCAGUAUGUAGCACAUUGAUGUCUAAACUGUUGCGUGCCCUUACUGAGGGAGACAGACACUUUUCUUUGAGAAGAGCUCUCAAUGUUCCAGCCUUGCUGGCUAGGUGAGGCAAAGUCAGAGGAGCAACCCUCUAGCGACACUGCUCUUUGUGGGAUAUCUGAAAUCCCGCAUAUAAAAACACCCCAACCCCAUCUGUCAUUUUUGUAGGUUUUCUUUGCUUUCUGUACAAUAAGAAAGGGCAACAGAUGAGGUAGACGGUGGACUGGGUUUGGGGUCUGAAUCGGGACUUACAUCAUCUUCUCUGUGAUUUGGGGCAAUUUAAUUACCAUCUCCAAAAGUCAAUCCUUUGCUUGGGAAACAAGGUCAAUGACGCAUGACUCACGGAGUGUCUGGAAAGACCAAAUGCAAAGGCAUUGGCAAACUGACAAACACUGGUAUACAGAGGGUGCUCAAUAAGUAUUAACAGAUGAGAUAACAGCUUCCUGAUGUGGAGGAGACAAGGUGUCUUGAUACCCCCUUAUGAAUAAUCGCAAUCAGCGCUUGGGGCUGGGAGCUGGGGGUAUGGAUUGGGUUUUCUUGAGGGGCAGCGGGUGAGCGAGAUGGAGAGGCUGACCCACUGGCGGUCGGUGCACAUUAGCGUUGCUUUGGAGAGUCUGCACAGAGCAUCAAGGAGUGUGGGUAACCUGCUCUCAACUCCUUGUGGAGUGUAGUCCUCAGAGAGCCAACAGCAGGUUCAGCUCUGAGCCUGACCCUGGGAGACAUAACAAACUAACCCAUUAUCCCCCAUUAUCUUUUCCGAGCAGCUUCAUUUGUCAAACCACGCUGCUGUUGGGAGAGGCGUGAUGGAGGACCCCAGCAUGCAUUUGUGCUGCGGUGCCUGAGCCCGGAUCUGCGCUGGAGUGAGAAAAAGGCUAGCGAUGCCUACAGACUGUGGCUCGCUCCAUAAUGGAGGCUUUGCACAUCUCUUUGAAUGCUAACUGCCUGGGAAUUAGAUAGCUGUUGUUGUUGUUGUUGUUGUUGCUGCUGCUGCUGCUGCUGCUGCUGCUGCUGCUGCUGUUUUUCCAGUCAGCCACAAAAGGAGUGACAAAGAAAAGGAAAGACCUGGCCUGAGGUCACAUCCUGUGAGAUGAGGACUGAAACCUGAAUGUGGCUCCAGAACUGUGUAACCUCCAUGUGGCGUUGUCCCCAUAGCAAAGCCCACUACUGCCAUUUUUUUACCCAACCCCCACCCCAGUCUUUAGGAGUUCUUCCUGUUUGCUCCCUGCAGUGUGUCACCUCCAUGGCCAUCUCUGGUCUUUCCAUGGAAUUGGAUAAUAAAAUAGGCUAGACAGUGCAACAGCAAUUGACCUGCAAACUUUCACGUACUUCACCUCUGAGCACACCCCAUUGGCUGAACCAAGCCGUCUUUGAAAUGACUAAAUUCAAAGUGGGUUGAAAUAUUCACAUUCUACAAGCUUCAAGGAAGAGAAGAACCGGACUAUUCAUUAAUCACCAGGAUACUUAACUCCCCAAACCAAAACCAAUCAACCAACCAACCCCGGAAAAACUGCUGAAGUUUGGACAUGGAGCUAUUCCUCCAAAUCUCAAGUGCAAAGUGGCCCAUGAUACAACGUUCAGAGGUGGGAAAGGGCAGGACAGGUUUCCAAGGGCUCUGGACUCAUUCGAGGACAGCUCUGUUGAUGGAUGACUGAACACUCUCUUUCUUAAAGGGGAUAGAAACAGGGAGAUGAAUCUUGAAUGGAAAAAUGGGUCAAGAGAGUCAUGCCUUUGAAAGGCAGAGCUGCCCUGGCUUCUUCUCUCAAACUUGAGCUGCCUCCAGUCCUCUGUGAGGGAUGCCACUCUGUUACCACACGCUCCCAGUCCUGAUGUUCUGUCUAACUACACAUGGACCCAGAAGCACUGGGACCAACUGGUGAUGGGCAAAGACCAAUGAAACCUCCUUCUCUCAAAGGUCACCAAAUUCUUACCUCUACCCUUACUCACAAGGGGGCACUGGUAAGUUUUAGGGGAGUCUUAAAGAUGAUUAAGCAUUUGUGUCUGUGGGUACAACCUGGAAUCCUGACUCCUUGGGAGGUAAAAAUAGGGGAACCCAAGUUUAAGUCCAACCUAGUAGCUUAGGAAGACUCUGUCUUUAAACACUGAACCAAAGAAAACAUGGCUGGGGUUAUGACUCAUUCAUUGGUAAGAGUGCUUGUCUACAAUGGGUAAAGAUCUGGAUUCAAUUACCAGUGUGCAUAUGCACCAAUGUGUGUACGUGGGUGCACGCACACACACACACACACACACACACACAAACACACACUCAUACACUUAAACACACAUUCAU
This 12668-nucleotide small RNA is filed under the name Rattus norvegicus (Norway rat). Its description in RNAcentral is "uncharacterized LOC103693859". Lineage: Eukaryota; Metazoa; Chordata; Mammalia; Rodentia; Muridae. The record is from RNAcentral.